This 240-nucleotide unclassified non-coding RNA is filed under the name soil metagenome. RNAcentral's name for it is "partial contains 5.8S ribosomal RNA, internal transcribed spacer 2, and large subunit ribosomal RNA". The record is from RNAcentral.
AACCAUAGAAACCUGCGGAGUACCUGCGGAAGGAUCAUUAAAAAGAGUGUGUACCCCUCUGUAAAAUGAGUGGGUUACCUCCCGUCCUUUGUUGACCUCUUAGGAGGUUAUUUUGAACUUUCUGCUUCGGUGGGGUUAAACCUACCGGAACACCCUCAAAUUCUUAUCAUUUAAAAAUUGUUCAGUCUGAUUUUUGUUAAUAAAAACAAAAAACUUUCAGCAAUGGAUCUCAGAUCGGAA